UACGAAGGGGGCUAGCGUUGCUCGGAAUUCACUGGGCGUAAAGGGCGCGUAGGCGGCCGAUUAAGUCGGGGGUGAAAGCCUGAUGGCUCGAACCACAGAAUUGCCUUCGAUACUGGGUUGGCUUGAGACCGGAAGAGGACAGCGGAACUGCGAGUGUAGAGGUGAAAUUCGUAGAUAUUCGCAAGAACACCAGUGGCGAAGGCGGCUGUCUGGUCCGGUUCGUGACGCUGAGGCGCGAAAGCGUGGGGAGCAAACAGG
Molecule: ribosomal RNA, 258 nt
Filed under: uncultured bacterium
Lineage: Bacteria
Description: partial 16S ribosomal RNA
Rfam family: Bacterial small subunit ribosomal RNA
Source: RNAcentral